GUCGGUGUCGUACAGCGGUCAGUACCUCCGUCUCUCGAACGGACGACACGGGUUCGAUUCCCGUCACCGAUA
Molecule: transfer RNA, 72 nt
Filed under: Myxococcota bacterium
Lineage: Bacteria; Pseudomonadati; Myxococcota
Description: tRNA-Glu
Rfam family: tRNA
About the family: Transfer RNA (tRNA) molecules are approximately 80 nucleotides in length. Their secondary structure includes four short double-helical elements and three loops (D, anti-codon, and T loops).
Source: RNAcentral